AGUUCAUUCUUCAAUCUUCUCUAAUACUCUAAUAUGGUAUCAGAGCAUAAUUGAGCUACAAUCUUUUUUUUUUACUCUCUAAAAUCACCUCCUUGUAAUUUUGAUCUACAAUGGAGCAAAAUCAAUAAGAGAAUGGUUCUGAUUCAAGGUCGGUUGUCAACAAACCUGCCAUUGAUGAACCUUCCAAUCCAUAUUUCUUACACCACUCCGAUAGCCCUGGGUUGGUAUUAGUAUCUCAGUAGCUCACGGGAGAAAAUUAUGCUUCCUGGAGCCGUGCAAUGACCAUUGCUUUGACAGUUAAAAAUAAACUCUCAUUCAUCGAUGGAUCCAUGAAGAAAUCGGAUGCUUCUGAUCCAGAUCUGGUAAACUCAUGGAUUAGGAACAAUAAUAUGGUGAUAUCAUGGAUCCUUAAUUCCAUUUCGAAGGACAUAUCAGCCAGCGUGAUCUAUGCCUCCAUAGCUCAUGAGAUCUGGAAUGAUCUUAAGGGAACGAUUUCAACAAAGUAAGGGACCUCGAAUUUUCCAAUUAACGAGAGAACUAAUGAAUCUGAUGCAAGAUCAAAGCACUGCAAGUAUAUUCUUCACUAAAUUCAAGACUAUAUGGGAAGAAUUGAGUAAUUUUCGACCUAAUUGUAGCUGUGGAAAAUGUGAUUGUGGAGGUGCUCAAGAGUUAAAUAAAUACUAUCAGAUUGAAUAUGUCAUGGCGUUCCUCAUGGGAUUACAUGAUUCUUUUUCACAAAUUAGAGGUCAAAUUCUUCUCAUGGAUCCUCUGCCUCCAGUUAACAAAGUCUUUGCAUUGGUAUCAGAAGAGGAAAAUCAAAGGAAAAUACGCACACUUUCAAUUGGUGCUGAUUCCAAUGGAGGAGCUGCCUUUGCAUUCAAAGCUGAUAAUGGCAGAGGAACACAAAAUUCUGGUUCCGAUAAUUCUGGUUCCUAUAAUGACGGUGCAAGAGUCAACAAUAAGAAGAAGGAGAGAUCAUAUUGCACACAUUGCAAAUAUCAUGGGCGCUCCAUUGAUAAAUGCUAUAAGAUUCAUGGUUUUUCCCCUAGUUUUAAAUCAAAGCCAAGAGACAAUUUCCAAAAUUUUUCUAUAUCUAAUGCUGUUAAUCAAAUUUCUGUCAAUUUACAGAUUGAGGAAAAGCCAAUACAUCAACAGGUUGCCCUUGAGAAAUUAAUGCAGAAUUUGAAUCCCAAUCAAUACCAACACUUGAUGAUGAUGUUGUCAACUCAUCUGGCCUCCAACUCACAAUCUAUUCCAAAUGAUCUGGACAAGAAUGAUUCCACAUAUACUGCAGGUAUAUAUCAGUCUGCCGUUAUUCCAACCUUCUCUUGCAAAAAUAUUUGGAUUGUGGACUCUGGGGCUUCGAGGCACGUAUGCUCUAUUGCUGCAGCAUUCAUAAAAUUGAGACCUAUUACUAAUUCACACAUCACUUUGCCUAAUCACACACAAAUAUCUGUCAGUCUAUGUGGUGAUGUCAGAUUAGGACCCAAUUUGAUGCUACGUGAUGUGCUUUUUGUUCCACAAUUCAAGUUCAAUCUACUGUCAGUGAGUUCUUUAACUGCUGGAACAAAUCUUAGUUUGAAUUUCUUCCAUGAUCAGUUCAUCAUCCAGGAAGCUUUGACUAGGAAGAUGAUUGGCAAGGAAAGCAUUAUUCAAGGCCUAUAUAUACUAGACGCCAAAGAUUUUAAUUCUGUUUCUGAUGCAUUUAUUGGUUCUGUUUCUGCCCGUGUGUGACACAAUAGACUUGGGCAUCUAUCUUUCAAAAGGCUAGAUGUAUUAAAAGAUCACUUGAUGUAUGAUACUAGAAUAUUGAAUAAGCAUUUACCUUGUUACAUAUGUCCCCUAGCUAAACAAAGGAGAUUAUCCUUUGAAUCACACAAUCAUCUUUCGAAUCAGCCCUUUAAUCUCAUACAUUGUGAUAUAUGGGGCCCCUAUCAUGUGACAUCUCACUUUGGUUAUAGAUAUUUUAUGACUCUAGUAGAUGAUCACUCUAGAUUCACGUGGCUUUACAUGUUAAGACAAAAAUUUGAUACUGUAGGAGCUGUACACAGAUUCUUCAACUUGGUUGCCACACAAUUUCAUGCUGUCAUUAAAUCCUUUAGAUCAGAUAAUGCCGGUGAGUUAUCAUUCAAAGAUUUCUUUGCCAAAAGGGGAG
Molecule: long non-coding RNA, 2155 nt
Filed under: Olea europaea subsp. europaea
Lineage: Eukaryota; Viridiplantae; Streptophyta; Magnoliopsida; Lamiales; Oleaceae
Source: RNAcentral